GGGAAACGGAGCUGUUGCUCCACGAGGAGACCGAGAUCUAGAUCACAAGACAGGCUCGAGAGCGUCUCCACCAUGUUCCGCAAACAUGAGUAGAUAAACACUCCAGUUCAACAACAGCAAGCCUGCUAGUGACCCAAACCACGCAACGUUUUGGGGAUGAGCCCCGAAGCAUCAUCCCUGGGACUCCAC
This 189-nucleotide long non-coding RNA is filed under the name Mustela putorius furo (domestic ferret). RNAcentral's name for it is "lncRNA (ENSMPUG00000030653.1)". Lineage: Eukaryota; Metazoa; Chordata; Mammalia; Carnivora; Mustelidae. The record is from RNAcentral.